GAACCCUUGGCACAGUGGUAGCGCGUGAGAUUCCAGAUGGUGAAGUCAUUCACCCAAGGGAAAUCCUCAAGGUCGUCCGUUCGAUCCGGGCAGGGUUCA
Molecule: transfer RNA, 99 nt
Filed under: Trametes cingulata
Lineage: Eukaryota; Fungi; Basidiomycota; Agaricomycetes; Polyporales; Polyporaceae
Description: tRNA-Trp
Rfam family: tRNA
About the family: Transfer RNA (tRNA) molecules are approximately 80 nucleotides in length. Their secondary structure includes four short double-helical elements and three loops (D, anti-codon, and T loops).
Source: RNAcentral